AACUAUCUCCAAAAUAGUGCAACUUUUGUUUAAAGAGUGCAAUUUUCAUCUUAAAGGUUGCAGUUUAUAUCUCAAAAAGUAUAACUUACGUCUAUAAUAGUGCAACAUUCUUCUAUAACAGUGUUUGUUAUGCCCCAGAUCCGAAUGCUCGGAUCCGAACCGCAACAACCGGCCACGAAUUUAGAGGAAGAACUUUUGAAAACGAAAAGCCUUAAAUUGAUCCAAAGCCACUAUCUCAGUUAAAGACUAAAUAAUUUAUUAAUUAAAACAAAACUAAACAAUAACUACUAGAUGUCCAAUUAAUCAACCUCAAAUCAAAAUAAAUCAUAUAUCCAAAAUUUAAAAUCUAUCUAACGAGUUCUCGCCGGCCAAUUAUCUUACACGCCCUGACUCUGUACCUGAAACGGUGGACGACAAAAGUAAGCGCAAUGCUUAACAAGAAAUCUACUUCAAGGUUAACGAUAAAUUUUAAAUUUGAAACCACAAUGGUCAUGGUUUAGAGCAUCUCCACUCUGUCGCUCUAACCACGAAAGCUACAAUUACGCGUCGUUCCUCCUCGAAAACCGCGUACAGGAUGAAUCCCUCUCCUUCGAGGAAUCCGACCGCAACAGUCAUAAACAACAAUAAAUCAUGAUAAUAAUAAUGUGUAAAAUAAAUAAAUCAUGCCAGUCAAUAAUAACUAUAAAAUCCACUCGGAAGUAUUAACAACUAGUAAACAAAACAGAUAAUAAUCGUGUCCUGAACCCACUCGGAUCCACAUAUUUUCUACCGUUUGCAAAAAAGUAGCUAUUUACUUUCCUCUAUUAGUGCUCACAUAUUCGUCACGUUUUAAGAUUGAGGUUUUACAGCUGUCUCAGCAUCUACAACAACGAAAAGACCCAAAUAAAAUAUAUUUUCAAACAAGCCCUUUAACUAUUAAAAAUUCUGUAAAAAUUAUACAGUAAAUUAGGAUAAUUAGACCACACGAUCUUAUCCGUAUUUUCAAGAUGAGUCUUAUAGCUCUUGAAUCGCAAAAUUUUGCCUUACGGACAAAAAGUUAUGCCUCUUUACGGAUCAGUC
Molecule: long non-coding RNA, 1059 nt
Filed under: Ananas comosus (pineapple)
Lineage: Eukaryota; Viridiplantae; Streptophyta; Magnoliopsida; Poales; Bromeliaceae
Description: long non-coding RNA (ACOM_LNC010499)
Source: RNAcentral